GAGGUGUGCUCAUAGCAGGUGGUCUAAAGAAUGGUUUCUGUGUUUACAACACACCCAAUGGGGAUUCAGGGUCCCUGUGACAAGGCACACAAAACUGUGACUUCCCUUGGAGCAAACGUCCUGCCCUU
Octodon degus (degu) is the source of this 128-nucleotide small nucleolar RNA. NCBI's taxonomy places the organism in Eukaryota, Metazoa, Chordata, Mammalia, Rodentia, Octodontidae. The record is from Ensembl.